UCAGCAUUGACGAGAAAGUUAAGGAGAAGACCAUGGUGCUGGUCUUGCUAGCAUCAUUUCUCUCUUCAUAUGAGUUCUUGGUGAUUGCUCUUCUAAUGGGGAAGAGCACCUUUAAGAUGGAUGAGGUGUUGGACUUGUGUCCUAAAAGUCAAUUGUUGACUGACACAUUAUGUAUUUUCAGGACCUAAAUUUAUACUUGUAAUACUUUCAUUAUAAAUAAAGG
RNAcentral lists this long non-coding RNA (223 nucleotides) under Elaeis guineensis (African oil palm). RNAcentral's name for it is "long non-coding RNA (EGUI_LNC040236)". The record is from RNAcentral. Lineage: Eukaryota; Viridiplantae; Streptophyta; Magnoliopsida; Arecales; Arecaceae.